RNAcentral lists this non-coding RNA (122 nucleotides) under Chloroparvula japonica. Lineage: Eukaryota; Viridiplantae; Chlorophyta; Chloropicophyceae; Chloropicales; Chloropicaceae. The record is from RNAcentral.
GAGAGAAAGAGAGAAAGAGAAAAAGGGAGAGAAAGAGAGAGAAUUCUUUUAGGUAGUAGUAAUUUGUUGUAUUGUUAGAAUUUUUAUAGUUAUAUUGGUGUUUGCAUUCUGCGAUUUUUAUA